Molecule: long non-coding RNA, 516 nt
Organism: Zootermopsis nevadensis
Lineage: Eukaryota; Metazoa; Arthropoda; Insecta; Blattodea; Termopsidae
Source: RefSeq, a predicted model, not a curated record
GCGAUAAGCCAGGGCAGCGUGAAGUGUAGAAGAGAUAAGUAGUGACCAACAAACUGAUAAAGCAAAACAUUUAAAAAAGAAGAAGAAGAAAACUUUUACAAGAAAUAUAAAAGGUUCGUUUCAAAAGGUUCUAUUGUGGCUUCAGACAUCAUUCAGCUUCAUAGAACCGACUGAUCAGAGCAGAAAUGGCGGCUCGUUUGCAUUCAGUGGCCUGCAUCGCACUCCUCGUGAUGUGCGUCAUCUUGAUGCGUGUCUCAGCAGAGUGUCCUCCAAUUAAACCUGGGGAGGUUGGUAUUUGCGCUAUUCUGUGUUCAUCUGACGACGGAUGUAAAUCCGGUGAAUUAUGCUGCCGCAACGGGUGUGGAGGAACAUACUGUUACAAUGGAUCCUAACAUAUUCUCUUUUACAAGAUUCAUCGAGCAAAGCUUGAGAGCUUCAGAAACAGCAAGAACUGUUUGUUGCAACACAUUCUGUGUGAAUUACCAUAAAAAUAAAUAAAUAGUACACAAUGAUGAA